UACGUAGGGUGCAAGCGUUAAUCGGAAUUACUGGGCGUAAAGCGUGCGCAGGCGGUUUUGUAAGCCAGAUGUGAAAUCCCCGGGCUUAACCUGGGAAUGGCAUUUGGGACUGCAAGGCUGGAGUACGGCAGAGGAGACUGGAAUUCCUGGUGUAGCAGUGAAAUGCGUAGAUAUCAGGAGGAAUACCGAUGGCGAAGGCAGGUCGCUGGGCUGAUACUGACGCUCAUGCACGAAAGCGUGGGGAGCAAACAGG
Molecule: ribosomal RNA, 253 nt
Filed under: uncultured bacterium
Lineage: Bacteria
Description: partial 16S ribosomal RNA
Rfam family: Bacterial small subunit ribosomal RNA
Source: RNAcentral